Molecule: long non-coding RNA, 377 nt
Organism: Megalops cyprinoides (Indo-Pacific tarpon)
Lineage: Eukaryota; Metazoa; Chordata; Actinopteri; Elopiformes; Megalopidae
Exons: 3
Source: RefSeq, a predicted model, not a curated record
UGGAACCCGGGAAUUACUGGGCGGGGGGAACGAGCUCGGUUCAUAAAUAUGUCGGGAUACAAUGCUCGCCGAUGUGAGUCACCCUAAAGGAGAGUCAGAGACGAUUGGGAUCUGUCAUCAGCCGAGAAAACCCGAACGUUUGUCUACUGGAAAGCGAGAUGUUCUGGAUCGCGGUUCUCUGCGUUUGCCUUCUCCAAGCGGCGGCUGUUCAGUCCAUGAUGGACCCGCGAGAUAUGCAGAAGAACACUGACGCUGAUGAGUCACUCAAAGAUCCUCCGUCAGCGGAAACAGGAGUUUGGAUCCAGGGGAAAACGAAGACGCUGUUCGCCAGAAGAGGAGUCCAGGAGCGGCAGAGACUUCGCGCCACGGUAGGCAGU